CAGUAGCCACGGGAAUACGAAGGGUGCAAGCGUUACUCGGAAUUACUGGGCGUAAAGCGUGCGUAGGUGGUGGUUUAAGUCCGUUGUGAAAGCCCUGGGCUCAACCUGGGAAUUGCAGUGAUACUGGAUCACUAGAGUGUGGUAGAGGAUAGUGGAAUUUCCGGUGUACCAGUGAAAUGCGUAGAGAUCGGAAGGAACAUCUGUGGCGAAGGCGACUAUCUGGGCCAACACUGACACUGAGGCACGAAAGCGUGGGGAGCAAACAGGAUUAGAUACCCCAGUAGUCCCUGUCUCUUAUACC
This 301-nucleotide ribosomal RNA is filed under the name uncultured bacterium. RNAcentral's name for it is "partial 16S ribosomal RNA". It matches the Rfam family "Bacterial small subunit ribosomal RNA", at positions 509 to 808 of the family's 1533-position model. The record is from RNAcentral.